CCUACGGGAGGCAGCAGUGAGGAAUAUUGGUCAAUGGACGAGAGUCUGAACCAGCCAAGUCGCGUGAAGGAUGACUGCCCUAUGGGUUGUAAACUUCUUUUAUAUGGGAAUAAAAUGUUCCACGUGUGGGAUUUUGUAUGUACCCUAUGAAUAAGGAUCGGCUAACUCCGUGCCAGCAGCCGCGGUAAUACGGAGGAUCCGAGCGUUAUCCGGAUUUAUUGGGUUUAAAGGGAGCGUAGGUGGAUUGUUAAGUCAGUUGUGAAAGUUUGCGGCUCAACCGUGGAAUUGCAGUUGAAACUGGCAGUCUUGAGUAGAGUAGAGGUGGGCGGAAUUCGUGGUGUAGCGGUGAAAUGCUUAGAUAUCACGAAGAACUCCGAUUGCGAAGGCAGUUCACUGGACUGCAACUGACGCUGAGGCUCGAAAGUGUGGGUAUCAAACAGGAUUAGAUACCCGAGUAGUC
Molecule: ribosomal RNA, 460 nt
Filed under: uncultured bacterium
Lineage: Bacteria
Description: partial 16S ribosomal RNA
Rfam family: Bacterial small subunit ribosomal RNA
Source: RNAcentral